Molecule: small RNA, 1682 nt
Filed under: Pongo abelii (Sumatran orangutan)
Lineage: Eukaryota; Metazoa; Chordata; Mammalia; Primates; Hominidae
Description: retained intron
Source: RNAcentral
UGGCAAUCUAGCUGGAUAGCAUCCCUGCCCCUUGAAGAGACGUUUUUGUGGCCCCACACUACUGACUUAGGCAUAAUGCCUAGAGAUGGACUAGAACUGCACAAUGAACUAGUGGUGAGGUUCAGUUUAAUGGAAAUCGGUGAAGGCUUUCAGGAUCAAAUGAUAAUCUUUGUCUUUUUCUUUCUCUCAGGAAAAUGGCAGACAAUUUUUCGGUAAGUGUUUUAUGCCUGUUUCUUAUCCUUGAUCAGCUUCACAUGGUUGAGGGUUGGGGGUUUUGUUUUUACCAUGACUUUCCCUUUUCACUCUCCCACUGCGUGGCUUCCCCUGGACUCAUUUGUCCAACGAGGGCUUGCAAGCUGGAGCCUUGUUUUUCCAGCAGCAGAUUUGGGAAGAAAGCCAGGCAGAGCGAGUGGACUCUGCCGGCAGGAGCUGAGAAAUCCUCUGAGUAGCGGGAAGCGCGGUACAGUCUGGGCAUUCUGAUGUUUGUGAUUGUUUUUCUCACGGUGAUUAAAAAGUAUGUGCUGUAAGUAGAGGAGUGCUAACUCCUGACUUGAGCUAAUUAUGAAAAUGCAGCCCUCCCUGAUCUGAGACGUUGCGAGGCAAGAAUAAAGUGAAAAAGUAUAUGUAAUCCCAACAUCUGAUUUUAGUCUUAGAAACUCAAACUGUUAAUAAGUGGAAAAAGUUUAAUGAUAUGCAUGUAAUGCCUUUGCCAUAUUCCUCUCCUUCUUAGAUCACAUAUUCCUGUUUUCCUGAAAAUUCUGCUUUUGAGAAUGCUUUCUGUCCUGUAAUUGUUUAUGUCUUUCUUUCCAGCUCCAUGAUGCAUUAUCUGGGUCUGGAAACCCAAACCCUCAAGGAUGGCCUGGCGCAUGGGGGAACCAGCCUGCUGGGGCAGGGGGCUACCCAGGGGCUUCCUAUCCUGGGGCCUAUCCCGGGCAGGCACCCCCAGGGGCUUAUCCUGGACAGGCACCUCCAGGCGCCUACCCUGGAGCACCUGGAGCUUAUCCCGGAGCAUCUGCACCUGGAGUCUACCCAGGGCCACCCAGCGGCCCUGGGGCCUACCCACCUCCUGGACAGCCAAGUGCUCCCGGAGCCUACCCUGCCACUGGCCCCUAUGGCGCCCCUGCUGGGCCACUGAUUGUGCCUUAUAACCUGCCUUUGCCUGGGGGAGUGGUGCCUCGCAUGCUGAUAACAAUUCUGGGCACGGUGAAGCCCAAUGCAAACAGAAUUGCUUUAGAUUUCCAAAGAGGGAAUGAUGUUGCCUUCCACUUUAACCCACGCUUCAAUGAGAACAACAGGAGAGUCAUUGUUUGCAAUACAAAGCUGGAUAAUAACUGGGGAAGGGAAGAAAGACAGUCGGUUUUCCCAUUUGAAAGUGGGAAACCAUUCAAAAUACAAGUACUGGUUGAACCUGACCACUUCAAGGUUGCAGUGAAUGAUGCUCACUUGUUGCAGUACAAUCAUCGGGUUAAAAAACUCAAUGAAAUCAGCAAACUGGGAAUUUCUGGUGACAUAGACCUCACCAGUGCUUCAUAUACCAUGAUAUAAUCUGAAAGGGCAGAUUAAAAAAAAAAAGAAUCUAAACCUUACAUGUGUAAAGGUUUCAUGUUCACUGUGAGUGAAAAUUUUUAUUCAUCAAUAUCCUUCUUGUAAGUCAUCUACUUAAUAAAUAUUACAGUGAAUUA